RNAcentral lists this long non-coding RNA (1030 nucleotides) under Homo sapiens (human). RNAcentral's name for it is "HSALNT0318867". The record is from RNAcentral. Lineage: Eukaryota; Metazoa; Chordata; Mammalia; Primates; Hominidae.
GGUGGAAAACAGGUGCUUGGGAUGGGCACAGGAAGGAUCAAGGGGGAGGGUCUGCACUAACCUGAUAAAUAUCCUUGUGCUUGAACAAUGGCACAUGAAAUAGAAAAUGAAACACACAUGACAGGUUGAGAGAGAGACCAUGGAAGAAAGAAAAAAUACUAUCAUAUUUUUGGGCUUUUAAAAUAAGUGGCCCCACAUUUUCGUUUUUUCAUUUUCCACCACAAGUUUUGUAGUCCUGCUUUCAGACAUGUACUCAGGUGAGCUUGCAUUAGGAAAACAGGAGCGUCCAAACAUUUUAAAGACAACCGGACCUAUGUCCAAGUUACCAUUGAUACCUAGCAUCCUGAAAUGUCAUUAUGAUGUCAUUCUUUGUGUGGAGACAUAUAAGGACCAGGAAAUAAAUGGAAUCCCAGACUAGGCGCAGCACACACGGGAGCUACUGGGUCUGUGGAACUACUUGGUGGUCAUUUCCCAGUCCCUGAAUAUGUAAUUAGAAUUAUUCUACUUAGUGGUAGGUGCAACCUCUACUUUACGCAUGUAUUUGCCACUACCUGACAUAAGAUGUUAGAAGUUGAGAGACAGAUACUAGGAGGUGGAAUCCAGCCACCUAAAUUCCAGAGGAGCUGAAAGAAAGCAAGGAUCUGCAAUUUGGUGGGUGCAGAUCUAAACAUACCAACAGAGAUACCCUCUGCAGUUGAUGAAUAUGAAACUGAGGAUGCAAUGAUAUUAUUCAAAUAUACAGGUUCAGCCCACCUUCAUGGAGAAGGAAAUAUACAGAGUAUAUACUGAUGGUUAGAUAUCUACCACCUCACAGGCUCAGAAUCACAUCAUCCCUGAGAAAAGAGUGAAUUUACAUCUUUAGGCUUGGAUUGGAAUUCCAUUUUGAUCUUCAAAAUAAAAACAACCUUCCUGUAACACUUCUUCUCAGAUAACAGAGUCAUUCUCCAAUUCUCUUGAAAAAGUUUACUCUCUGCCUCUAGGAAGCUCAUGUCCUUCUGUAAGAGUAAUCUACCCGCACAUGAAAAUGAAG